GACGAACGCUGGCGGCGUGCUUAACACAUGCAAGUCGAACGGAAAGGCCCUGCUUUUGUGGGGUGCUCGAGUGGCGAACGGGUGAGUAACACGUGAGUAACCUGCCCUUGACUUUGGGAUAACUUCAGGAAACUGGGGCUAAUACCGGAUAGGAGCUCCUGCUGCAUGGGGGGGGUUGGAAAGUUUCGGCGGUUGGGGAUGGACUCGCGGCUUAUCAGCUUGUUGGUGGGGUAGUGGCGUACCAAGGCUUUGACGGGUAGCCGGCCUGAGAGGGUGACCGGCCACAUUGGGACUGAGAUACGGCCCAGACUCCUACGGGAGGCAGAAGUGGGGAAUAUUGCCCAAUGGGCGGAAGCCUGAUGCAGCAACGCCGCGUGCGGGAUGACGGCCUUCGGGUUGUAAACCGCUUUCGCCUGUGACGAAGCGUGAGUGACGGUAAUGGGUAAAGAAGCACCGGCUAACUACGUG
This 468-nucleotide ribosomal RNA is filed under the name uncultured bacterium. RNAcentral describes it as "partial 16S ribosomal RNA". It matches the Rfam family "Bacterial small subunit ribosomal RNA", at positions 28 to 507 of the family's 1533-position model. The record is from RNAcentral.